UGAUUUCAGGAAACACCUGUGCACGUGUGUCUUCUGUACGUUACGAAGUGUAUUUUUGAUGGCACGCUCAUUCCACCUUAAAUCGUUAUACAGGCAUUGAUGAGCAACGAAAUUGUGUAUAAUUGUGCUUCUGUAUUAAAGAAACUUAAGAAGAAUAAACUAAAACGAAGUGCCAUAAACCAAAAUAGAGAUCUCUGAUCGUAAAUUUGAAGACGAACGAAGAAUAGCCAGUAAACCGAUUUAUGUUUUAUUUAAAUCUCACGGGACACGAGGCUGGUCUAAUCGAUGAACAAUGGAUCGGCAUCGACGAAAGAAAAGACUACGUAACAGGGAUUGUAUACUAAUAAAAGGCAGAGACGACGAUUAUCACGAAAUGACCAAACUAUUCCCAAGUGCAAGCUGACGGUUGUACAGGAGCACAUUCUGCGGCAUAGGGGCACACCGCGUGCACACAUUAAUCAACAAGCUGUCCUUUUCCUCCAUUAAACUCUAUACGACCAUCGUCAUUCUUCGUCAAUUUGCACGGCUGGACCUACUCACGGUCCUUCGAUCAAUUAGUAAUUGCUCUACUAACGAUACGAUUUCCGAACCUCGAUAUUUGUAUAGAUAUAGAUAGCAUCAACGAUGAAAACAACCGAAAACGUUGGUUACCAAUGAUUCACAUUAUGACCAACUGUUUGAACUGAUAAAUCUAUUUGAAGUUGUCUUCAUAGAUACUUUGCAUAAGCGAUAAUAUUUAAAGUAAUGUUGUGAGAACGACGCAUGUAUAUACAAUUUACACAGCGUUGUCGCAUAUACGUAUUUUAACCUUGCUGCAUUUUUGACCCAACGAAUCGAAUUUUUCUAUUACUAGAAUAUUUCUUAAAAAAGGAGCUAUAUAUAAAAAUAAUUGCUUCCAAUGUGACCGCUUUAAAAUAAACUCAUAUAAAAGAAAACCGCUACUGUCACGCAUGAUUUCUCGUUUCAAUUGUAUACUAAUAGUUUUCUUAAAGCAUUAAAAAUUCCUUUCUCUAAAGUGAAAUUGGAAAAUCAAAAUUAAAGGUAUAAGCAAAGAUCAAAAUUAAGUGAGGUUAAAAAGUGAAAAGCUCGAGAAUCGCAGCAGGGUUGAGUUAAAGAGUUUGAAAUAAAAAUAUGAUGAUUCUUUCAGGUAAGAGUGGUUAAGAGCGAAGAUAUUUCGACUUGUGACCGUAACAACGGGCGGGAAAAGAACACACUCGUUGUCAUGUUCGCAAAUUAAGCUAUCUUCUCGACAGGUGCCUCGAAACGCGCGAAGUUGCAUCUAUAUAUGUAUCGAAUAGAUGGUCUAUUAUAUGUAUGAUUCUCUUUAUAAAAAGCAGACGAGUUCCUUCAUUCCUUCAAUUUGGAAGUAAACUCGAAAGAAAAUUUACACGUAACGAGAUAAAACAAAUCGUAUGAGUAA
Long non-coding RNA from Bombus pyrosoma, 1420 nucleotides. RefSeq lists it as uncharacterized. The record is from RefSeq and is a predicted model, not a curated record. The transcript has 3 exons. NCBI's taxonomy places the organism in Eukaryota, Metazoa, Arthropoda, Insecta, Hymenoptera, Apidae.